This 401-nucleotide long non-coding RNA is filed under the name Homo sapiens (human). RNAcentral describes it as "HSALNT0398702". Lineage: Eukaryota; Metazoa; Chordata; Mammalia; Primates; Hominidae. The record is from RNAcentral.
GGAGGAGGGGAGUCGUGGGUGAAGCUGAUAGGAUUCCUGCUGGACUCACAGAGCCUGGGUUAAUGACACAUUACCCAUGUUUAGAUAGGAGGUAAUUCUGCUCCGGUUUCGACAAGUUGUAGGAAAGGAGGAAAACAUGCUCAUAGCAGGCUUGAACAUGAAGUACAGGAACGUGCAUCUUAUUUUUGGAAGAUGGAGCCCCGUUGGGGGAAUUUGAGCAGUGGAGGGUCACAGCCAGGAAUUCCCCAGACAGUGAGGAGGGAGGAGAGGCCAUUUCUCUCCUAGGACUGGAGUGUUUCACCGGGGCAUACGUCACUGCCUGGGGGUCUUCAUCGUGUGGGCUCUGCUGGAGAGAGACAGUGGUGGGGGGUGUCCUUGAGUCCCCCUGACCUCCUGGAGUC